AGGACUCCACGCCUCCACUGCGCCGCCAGCUCUCCCCCGGCACCACACCCGGCAGGAGGUGGGUGCUGGUGGAAACCGAGGCGACCAGCCCCCCUCCCCAGCCAAACCAUGAUCGCAUCCUCAAGCGAAUCUACAAGCUCGCAGAGCUGGAGGUAGUCGAUGUCGAGGAAGGCGAACUUUUGGAGCAGGGGCACUAUCUUAGAAAAAAAGGAAAAUUCUCUUGCGACAAGUCCUCGUUUAUGCUCCUUAAGGACGACUAUUGUAGCUUCAGGAGUAGGGAGCUUUCCUGAACUUGGUAGCACAGGAAGGAAAACUUGGUAGUACAGGAGGGAGCUUUCCUGAACCAUCCUCUCUUCUAAGUGUUUCAGUUUGUGUUGUCUGCGGCACAGACACUCAUUUCAAAGGCAGGGCUGCGUCAACGAUGCGCGUCAAUAAUUAGGCUGAUGGAAAUAGCAAACUUUGGGCGCGGUCUCCUCGAUCCUGUCAUGCUCAACUUUUUCACCCUCUAAACCUGUGUCCAGCUCAGUGCCAAGGCGAAGGGAAGCCCCAAUCACCAAGAUGGCGGAGAAGCUUCUGUAUUGUCGUCUUGGCAUCACAGAAGAGGGUGUUCCAAGGCCGUCUGCCAUCCAUUGCCAUCGAUGCAUUGCGCGCCCUCUUCCAACUUGACUGUGACCUCUCCACAGCCAUCGAAGAUGCUCCUGUUGCCCAUGGAGUGAUCUGGACCGCCAAAGACACACAGAUGGUUGUGGUUUCCGCUGUGGUCGAGUUCCCUGAUCGUAGCUUAGUCUUUUGUGAGAUGUGUGUUGAGAUGCUGCUUGCUGUACCAACCAGCAGUCUGCUUCUCGUGAUGUUCCCCUUGCUGUACCAACCAGCAGUUUGUUUACCCUGUUGGGCAACUGUAGGGGUUGUGAAAUGUAGGUAACGUCUCUAAAUGAUGACUAUGAUGUUUA
Long non-coding RNA from Triticum aestivum (bread wheat), 950 nucleotides. RefSeq lists it as uncharacterized. The transcript is spliced from 4 exons. The record is from RefSeq and is a predicted model, not a curated record. NCBI's taxonomy places the organism in Eukaryota, Viridiplantae, Streptophyta, Magnoliopsida, Poales, Poaceae.